Molecule: unclassified non-coding RNA, 389 nt
Filed under: Hevea brasiliensis (rubber tree)
Lineage: Eukaryota; Viridiplantae; Streptophyta; Magnoliopsida; Malpighiales; Euphorbiaceae
Source: RNAcentral
CGCACACAGAGAAGCAGAAAGGGUUUUAGGGUUUUACAAUGGAUAGAUACCAAAAAGUAGAAAAACCGAAGCCAGAAUCACCCAUAAAUGAGUACGAGAUUCGAAUCACUUCACAGGGUUUUGUUCGAAACUACAUCAACUAUGCUAAUACUCUUCUUCAGGAGAGGCAUGGGAAAGAGAUUGUCUUGAAAGCAAUGGGUCAGGCAAUUAGCAAAGCAGUUGCUAUAGCGGAGAUCAUCAAGAGAAGAGUGCCUAUACUUCAUCAAGACACUGCUAUCAGCUCAGUAAGCAUAACAGAUGUAUGGGAGCCAAUUGAAGAGGGUCUUUUGCCUGUGGAGCAGACCCGCCAUGUUUCAGUGAUUUCAAUCACGUUGUCAACACAAGAGCUG